Long non-coding RNA from Mus caroli (Ryukyu mouse), 602 nucleotides. RefSeq lists it as uncharacterized. Lineage: Eukaryota; Metazoa; Chordata; Mammalia; Rodentia; Muridae. The record is from RefSeq and is a predicted model, not a curated record.
AGGGGAUUUUUAAGGCCAUUUGUAUUUAAAAAAAAAUGUAAGAAAGAACAAGUAAGAUGUGGUUAUGUCGAGCCACCUUCCUGGGGUGAAAACGAAGCCUGCUGCUAAUGGAGCCCAGAGUCUUAUAUUUCAUCCCAUGUAUAAAAUAAGACAGACACUGUUGGCUCUGACAGGCAUCUUGGGCCUUUUUUUUUUUUUUUUCUAGUCUAGGUCUCCAGAGAGCUCAAAGAAAUGAUGCUGUUUCCAGAUGAAGUGCGGAUGGAUUACACUCUGUUACGUCUGCGGCUUUCAGCUCCAGAGGCUCUAGCUAGGAGAGAGAAAGCUGCUACUUUAAGAACAUUUGCAUCACUGGGCUAACCCUUCGCUGUGGGUGUUUCUUCCACAGCAAAACACCAUCCAACCAACUUUCCAAAGAGCCCUGAAGUUUCCAUUUCACCAAGGAGUCUCCAAGGAAGAACCUGGAACUAAACCUGAGGGAGCCUCUGUGGAAUAAGAGAGUUACAGAAAAUAGCUUUUCCAUGAGCUGGGGCAGGCAUAUAGAGUAUAUACAGCUCUACACCAUGACCGCAGCAACUCUUAUAAAGGAAAACAUUUAAUCGGAG